RNAcentral lists this ribosomal RNA (253 nucleotides) under uncultured bacterium. Its description in RNAcentral is "partial 16S ribosomal RNA". It matches the Rfam family "Bacterial small subunit ribosomal RNA", at positions 524 to 776 of the family's 1533-position model. The record is from RNAcentral.
UACGUAGGGAGCAAGCGUUGUCCGGAAUCAUUGGGCGUAAAGCGCGCGUAGGUGGCCUCAUAAGUCCGCUGUGAAAGUCAAAGGCUCAACCUUUGAAAGCCGGUGGAUACUGUGAGGCUAGAGUACGGAAGAGGCGAGUGGAAUUCCUGGUGUAGCGGUGGAAUGCGCAGAUAUCAGGAGGAACACCAAUAGCGAAGGCAGCUCGCUGGGACGUUACUGACACUGAGACGCGAAAGCGUGGGGAGCGAACAGG